This 456-nucleotide ribosomal RNA is filed under the name uncultured bacterium. RNAcentral describes it as "bacterial SSU rRNA". It matches the Rfam family "Bacterial small subunit ribosomal RNA", at positions 29 to 479 of the family's 1533-position model. The record is from RNAcentral.
AACGAACGCUGGCGGCGCGCCUAAUACAUGCAAGUCGAGCGAGAAGACGUAGCAAUACGUUUGUAAAGCGGCGAACGGGUGAGGAAUACAUGGGUAACCUACCCUCGAGUGGGGAAUAACUAGCCGAAAGGUUAGCUAAUACCGCGUACGCUCCUUGGACUUCGGUUCAGGGAGGAAAGCGAUACCGUGGGUAUCGCGCUCUUGGAUGGGCCCAUGUCCUAUCAGCUUGUUGGUGAGGAACGGCUCACCAAGGCUUCGACGGGUAGCUGGUCUGAGAGGACGAUCAGCCACACUGGCACUGCGACACGGGCCAGACUCCUACGGGAGGCAGCAGUAAGGAAUAUUGCGCAAUGGGCGAAAGCCUGACGCAGCGACGCCGCGUGGGGGAUGAAGGUCUUCGGAUUGUAAACCCCUUUCGGGAGGGAAGAUGGAACGAGCAAUCGUUCGGACGGUACC